AAUGAACGCUGGCGGCAUGCCUAACACAUGCAAGUCGAACGAAGGCUUCGGCCUUAGUGGCGCACGGGUGCGUAACGCGUGGGAAUCUGCCCCUUGGUUCGGAAUAACAGUUAGAAAUGACUGCUAAUACCGGAUGAUGACGUAAGUCCAAAGAUUUAUCGCCGAGGGAUGAGCCCGCGUAGGAUUAGCUAGUUGGUGUGGUAAGAGCGCACCAAGGCGACGAUCCUUAGCUGGUCUGAGAGGAUGAUCAGCCACACUGGGACUGAGACACGGCCCAGACUCCUACGGGAGGCAGCAGUGGGGAAUAUUGGACAAUGGGCGAAAGCCUGAUCCAGCAAUGCCGCGUGAGUGAUGAAGGCCUUAGGGUUGUAAAGCUCUUUUACCCGGGAUGAUAAUGACAGUACCGGGAGAAUAAGCGCCGGCUAACUCCGUG
This 433-nucleotide ribosomal RNA is filed under the name uncultured bacterium. RNAcentral describes it as "partial 16S ribosomal RNA". It matches the Rfam family "Bacterial small subunit ribosomal RNA", at positions 29 to 507 of the family's 1533-position model. The record is from RNAcentral.